RNAcentral lists this ribosomal RNA (274 nucleotides) under uncultured bacterium. RNAcentral describes it as "partial 16S ribosomal RNA". It matches the Rfam family "Bacterial small subunit ribosomal RNA", at positions 523 to 796 of the family's 1533-position model. The record is from RNAcentral.
AUACAGGGGGUGCGAGCGUUAAUCGGAAUUACUGGGCGUAGAGAGUACGUAGGCGGUUGCUUAAGUCAGAUGUGAAAGCCCCGGGCUCAACCUGGGAACUGCAUUUGAAACUGAGUGACUAGAGUUUAAGAGAGGGGAGUAGAAUUCCGGGUGUAGCGGUGAAAUGCGUAGAGAUCCGGAGGAAUACCAGUGGCGAAGGCGGCUCCCUGGCUUAAAACUGACGCUGAGGUACGAAAGCGUGGGUAGCAAACAGGAUUAGAAACCCCAGUAGUCC